RNAcentral lists this ribosomal RNA (496 nucleotides) under uncultured bacterium. Its description in RNAcentral is "partial 16S ribosomal RNA". It matches the Rfam family "Bacterial small subunit ribosomal RNA", at positions 28 to 507 of the family's 1533-position model. The record is from RNAcentral.
GACGAACGCUGGCGGCGUGCCUAAUACAUGCAAGUUGAGCGCUGAAGGUUGGUACUUGUACCAACUGGAUGAGCAGCGAACGGGUGAGUAACGCGUGGGGAAUCUGCCUUUGAGCGGGGGACAACAUUUGGAAACGAAUGCUAAUACCGCAUAAAAACUUUAAACACAAGUUUUAAGUUUGAAAGAUGCAAUUGCAUCACUCAAAGAUGAUCCCGCGUUGUAUUAGCUAGUUGGUGAGGUAAAGGCUCACCAAGGCGAUGAUACAUAGCCGACCUGAGAGGGUGAUCGGCAACAUUGGGACUGAGACACGGCCAAACUCCUACGGGAGGCAGCAGUAGGGAAUCUUCGGCAAUGGACGAAAGUCUGACCGAGCAACGCCGCGUGAGUGAAGAAGGUUUUCGGAUCGUAAAACUCUGUUGGUAGAGAAGAACGUUGGUGAGAGUGGAAAGCUCAUCAAGUGACGGUAACUACCCAGAAAGGGACGGCUAACUACGUG